RNAcentral lists this unclassified non-coding RNA (279 nucleotides) under fungal sp. RNAcentral's name for it is "partial contains 5.8S ribosomal RNA, internal transcribed spacer 2, and large subunit ribosomal RNA". The stretch from base 1 to 71 matches the Rfam family "5.8S ribosomal RNA", at positions 84 to 154 of the family's 154-position model. The record is from RNAcentral. Lineage: Eukaryota; Fungi.
GUGAGUCAUCGAAUCUUUGAACGCAUAUUGCGCCCUUUGGUAUUCCGAAGGGCAUGCCUGUUCGAGCGUCAUUAUCAACCAUCAAGCCUGGCUUGUCGUUGGACUUGGUUGUCACGACCAGUCCGAAAGAUAAUGGACGGCGCUGAUUAGCCCUCAAUGCAACGAGCUUUAAUAGCACGCAUGGAACGGUUGUCACCCCGGCCUCGCACUUUUUUUUCAGGUUGACCUCGGAUCAGGUAGGAAUACCCGCUGAACUUAAGCAUAUCAAUAAGCGGAGGA